This 468-nucleotide ribosomal RNA is filed under the name uncultured bacterium. Its description in RNAcentral is "partial 16S ribosomal RNA". It matches the Rfam family "Bacterial small subunit ribosomal RNA", at positions 28 to 507 of the family's 1533-position model. The record is from RNAcentral.
GACGAACGCUGGCGGCGUGCUUAACACAUGCAAGUCGAACGGAAAGGCCCUGCUUUUGUGGGGUGCUCGAGUGGCGAAAGGGUGAGUAACACGUGAGUAACCUGCCCUUGACUUUGGGAUAACUUCAGGAAACUGGGGCUAAUACCGGAUAGGAGCUCCUGCUGCAUGGUGGGGGUUGGAAAGUUUCGGCGGUUGGGGAUGGACUCGCGGCUUAUCAGCUUGUUGGUGGGGUAGUGGCUUACCAAGGCUUUGACGGGUAGCCGGCCUGAGAGGGUGACCGGCCACAUUGGGACUGAGAUACGGCCCAGACUCCUACGGGAGGCAGCAGUGGGGAAUAUUGCACAAUGGGCGGAAGCCUGAUGCAGCAACGCCGCGUGCGGGAUGACGGCCUUCGGGUUGUAAACCGCUUUCGCCUGUGACGAAGCGUGAGUGACGGUAAUGGGUAAAGAAGCAACGGCUAACUACGUG